UACGGAGGGGGCGAGCGUUAUUCGGAAUUAUUGGGCGUAAAGGGCGCGUAGGCGGCCAGCGCAAGUCAGUUGUGAAAUCUCCGGGCUUAACUCGGAACGGUCAACUGAUACUGCGCGGCUAGAGUGCAGAAGGGGCAACUGGAAUUCUCGGUGUAGCGGUGAAAUGCGUAGAUAUCGAGAGGAACACCUGCGGCGAAGGCGGGUCUCUGGGCCGAUACUGACGCUGAGGAGCGAAAGCGUGGGGAGCGAACAGG
This 254-nucleotide ribosomal RNA is filed under the name uncultured bacterium. RNAcentral's name for it is "partial 16S ribosomal RNA". It matches the Rfam family "Bacterial small subunit ribosomal RNA", at positions 524 to 776 of the family's 1533-position model. The record is from RNAcentral.